RNAcentral lists this ribosomal RNA (300 nucleotides) under Inermocoelotes karlinskii. RNAcentral's name for it is "partial 12S ribosomal RNA". Lineage: Eukaryota; Metazoa; Arthropoda; Arachnida; Araneae; Agelenidae. The record is from RNAcentral.
UUUAAUUUGGCGGCAUUUCAUCUAUUUAGAGGAAUUUGUCCUUUAAUCGAUAAUCCACGUUAAAUUUCACUUUAAUUUAAAAUUUAUAUACCAUCAUCUUAAGAAUUAAUUUAAAAAUAUUUCUCUUAAUAAUUUAUAAAAAGUUAGAUCAAGGUAUAAUCCACAUUAAAGAAUAAGAUGAAUUACAUUAAAUAAUAUUUAAAGAUUAUUAAUAAAUAUAUAAAUAUAAAUAAGAAUUUAAAAGUAAUAUAUAAACAAUAAUAAUAUAUGAUAAAGAUAAUAAAUGUGCACACAUCGCCC